This 72-nucleotide transfer RNA is filed under the name Bos taurus (domestic cattle). It matches the Rfam family "tRNA". Rfam says of the family: Transfer RNA (tRNA) molecules are approximately 80 nucleotides in length. Their secondary structure includes four short double-helical elements and three loops (D, anti-codon, and T loops). Further hydrogen bonds mediate the characteristic L-shaped molecular structure. tRNAs have two regions of fundamental functional importance: the anti-codon, which is responsible for specific mRNA codon recognition, and the 3' end, to which the tRNAs corresponding amino acid is attached (by aminoacyl-tRNA synthetases). tRNAs cope with the degeneracy of the genetic code in two manners: having more than one tRNA (with a specific anti-codon) for a particular amino acid; and 'wobble' base-pairing, i.e. permitting non-standard base-pairing at the 3rd anti-codon position. The record is from Rfam by way of RNAcentral. RNAcentral also lists the same sequence under 4 other names. Lineage: Eukaryota; Metazoa; Chordata; Mammalia; Artiodactyla; Bovidae.
UCCUUGGUGGUUCAGUGGCUAAGUCUUUGCUCUUUCAAUGCAGGGGGCCUGGUUCAAUCCCUGGUCAGGGAA